ACGGAGGAAAAGAAACCAACAGGGAUUGCCUUAGUAGCGGCGAGUGAAGCGGCAAAAGCUCAAAUUUGAAAUCUGGCUCUUUCAGAGUCCGAGUUGUAAUUUGAAGAAGGUAUCUUUGGGUCUGGCUCUUGUCUAUGUUUCUUGGAACAGAACGUCACAGAGGGUGAGAAUCCCGUGCGAUGAGAUGAUCCAGGCCUAUGUAAAGUUCCUUCGAAGAGUCGAGUUGUUUGGGAAUGCAGCUCUAAGUGGGUGGUAAAUUCCAUCUAAAGCUAAAUAUUGGCGAGAGACCGAUAGCGAACAAGUACAGUGAUGGAAAGAUGAAAAGAACUUUGAAAAGAGAGUGAAAAAGUACGUGAAAUUGUUGAAAGGGAAGGGCUUGAGAUCAGACUUGGUAUUUUGUAUGUUACUUCUUCGGGGGUGGCCUCUACAGUUUAUCGGGCCAGCAUCAGUUUGGGCGGUAGGAGAAUUGCGUUGGAAUGUGGCACGGCUUCGGUUGUGUGUUAUAGCCUUCGUCGAUACUGCCAGCCUAGACUGAGGACUGCGGUUUAUACCUAGGAUGUUGGCAUAAUGAUCUUAAGUCGCCCGUCUUGA
Molecule: ribosomal RNA, 591 nt
Filed under: Candida tropicalis
Lineage: Eukaryota; Fungi; Ascomycota; Pichiomycetes; Serinales; Debaryomycetaceae
Description: eukaryotic LSU rRNA
Rfam family: Eukaryotic large subunit ribosomal RNA
Source: RNAcentral